UACAGAGGUCUCAAGCGUUGUUCGGAUUCAUUGGGCGUAAAGGGUGCGUAGGUGGCGCCGUAAGUCAGGUGUGAAAUCCCGGGGCUCAACCCCGGAACUGCACUUGAUACUGCGGUGCUCGAGUACUGGAGAGGAGAUUGGAAUUUACGGUGUAGCAGUGAAAUGCGUAGAUAUUGGGAAGAACACCAGUGGCGAAAGCGCACUUCUGGGUUGUUACUGACGCUGAGGUACGAAAGCGUGGGGAGCAAACGGG
RNAcentral lists this ribosomal RNA (253 nucleotides) under uncultured bacterium. RNAcentral describes it as "partial 16S ribosomal RNA". It matches the Rfam family "Bacterial small subunit ribosomal RNA", at positions 524 to 776 of the family's 1533-position model. The record is from RNAcentral.